RNAcentral lists this ribosomal RNA (496 nucleotides) under uncultured bacterium. Its description in RNAcentral is "partial 16S ribosomal RNA". It matches the Rfam family "Bacterial small subunit ribosomal RNA", at positions 28 to 506 of the family's 1533-position model. The record is from RNAcentral.
GAUGAACGCUGGCGGCGUGCCUAAUACAUGCAAGUCGAGCGAACAGACGAGGAGCUUGCUCCUCUGACGUUAGCGGCGGACGGGUGAGUAAAACGUGGAUAACCUACCUAUAAGACUGGGAUAACUUCGGGAAACCGGAGCUAAUACCGGAUAAUAUAUUGAACCGCAUGGUUCAAUAGUGAAAGACGGUUUUGCUGUCACUUAUAGAUGGAUCCGCGCCGCAUUAGCUAGUUGGUAAGGUAACGGCUUACCAAGGCAACGAUGCGUAGCCGACCUGAGAGGGGGAUCGGCCACACUGGAACUGAGACACGGUCCAGACUCCUACGGGAGGCAGCAGUAGGGAAACUUCCGCAAUGGGCGAAAGCCUGACGGAGCAACGCCGCGUGAGUGAUGAAGGUCUUCGGAUCGUAAAACUCUGUUAUUAGGGAAGAACAAAUGUGUAAGUAACUAUGCACGUCUGGACGGUACCUAAUCAGAAAGCCACGGCUAACUACGG